This 500-nucleotide ribosomal RNA is filed under the name uncultured bacterium. RNAcentral describes it as "partial 16S ribosomal RNA". It matches the Rfam family "Bacterial small subunit ribosomal RNA", at positions 29 to 523 of the family's 1533-position model. The record is from RNAcentral.
AGUGAACGCUGGCGGCGUGCCUAAUACAUGCAAGUCGAGCGGACCUCUUCGGAGGUCAGCGGCGGACGGGUGAGUAACACGUGGGCAACCUGCCUGUAAGACUGGGAUAACACCGGGAAACCGGUGCUAAUACCGGAUAAUCCUUUUCCUCACAUGAGGGGCAGCUGAAAGACGGUUUCGGCUGUCAAUUAAAGAUGGGCCCGCGGCGCAUUAGCUAGUUGGGGGGGUAACGGCCCACCAAGGCGACGAUGCGUAGCCGACCUGAGAGGGUGAUCGGCCACACUGGGACUGAGACACGGCCCAGACUCCUACGGGAGGCAGCAGUAGGGAAUCUUCCGCAAUGGACGAAAGUCUGACGGAGCAACGCCGCGUGAGCGAAGAAGGCCUUCGGGUCGUAAAGCUCUGUUGUCAGGGAAGAACACGUACCGGAGUAACUGCCGGUACCUUGACGGUAUCUGACCAGAAAGCCACGGCUAACUACGUGCCAGCCGCCGCCGUAA